Molecule: ribosomal RNA, 429 nt
Filed under: Chloroflexota bacterium
Lineage: Bacteria; Bacillati; Chloroflexota
Description: Chloroflexi bacterium partial 16S ribosomal RNA
Rfam family: Bacterial small subunit ribosomal RNA
Source: RNAcentral
UGGGGAAUAUUGCACAAUGGGCGCAAGCCUGAUGCAGCCAUGCCGCGUGUAUGAAGAAGGCCUUCGGGUUGUAAAGUACUUUCAGCGGGGAGGAAGGGAGUAAAGUUAAUACAUGUGCUCAUUGACGUUACCCGCAGAAGAAGCACCGGCUAACUCCGUGCCAGCAGCCGCGGUAAUACGGAGGGUGCAAGCGUUAAUCGGAAUUACUGGGCGUAAAGCGCACGCAGGCGGUUUGUUAAGUCAGAUGUGAAAUCCUCGGGCUCAACCUGGGUACUGCAUCUGAUACUGGCAAGCUUGAGUCUCGUAGAGGGGGGUAGAAUUCCAGGUGUAGCGGUGAAAUGCGUAGAGAUCUGGAGGAAUACCGGUGGCGAAAGCGGCCCCCUGGACGAAGACUGACGCUCAGGUGCGAAAGCGUGGGGAGCAAACAGG